This 1556-nucleotide long non-coding RNA is filed under the name Theobroma cacao (cacao). RNAcentral describes it as "long non-coding RNA (TCAC_LNC002700)". Lineage: Eukaryota; Viridiplantae; Streptophyta; Magnoliopsida; Malvales; Malvaceae. The record is from RNAcentral.
GCAUCUUGAGAUGUACAUGUAUCUUAGGAACCAACUUCAAAUUAAAACACACAGCAGAGGUAAUCAAGCUAUUGAACUGCUCUCAUAGAACAUAGCAUGGAAAGCUUCUUUCUGAACAGGAAAACCCAGCUUCACAUACAAUUUCAUGUUAAAGCUUUGAAAACCCAUAUUACAAAGGUGGUGAAAAUUGGUUACCUUCAUUCCCAUAAUUCUGUUUUUGUCUAAGUUAAUUUUUUGUUCUUUUGCUCAGCAGAAUUGUCUAGGUUAAUUGAGAAUGUGUUUACAUAUUAUUAUUCCUAGCAUAAAAAAAAGGAGAAGGAUAGCAUAUCUUUUCUUCUUGCCACAGACAACAACUCUUUUUUGUUUUUUUUUGGCCAUAGACAGACAGCAGCUCCUUUGAUUCACCUUUCUGUUAUAUUCCCUGGAAACAUCAAGAUCAUCCAUGCAUGCAUAUUGUUAAAACAAAACAUAAAACUUUUGAGCUUUGAAGAUAGAGCAAGUUUGAUUAAAAAAGGAAACCAAAAAAAAAAAUUAAGGAGCUAGAAAGUAGUAUAGCUUUUGUUGGAAUGCCUUGGUGAAAGUAGCAAGGAGCAGACUAUAUUCAAAUUAUCAUGGAAUUACUAUAAAAUUUCGUGCAGGAAAGCCAAAUUAUGAGCUUUGAAUUCUAAUGAUGAAAAAAUUUGGAAAAAAAUCAUGGGGCAAGAUUGAAGUAUAUUCCACGGGCUAGGCCAUAACUGGGAUGAAAUUAAAAAAUUUAAAACUCCCGUUUUAUUGAUACUUACUCACUUUUUGCUAUUUAUUUUUUUUUAUUUUUUUAAAAAAGUUGCUUAAAAUAAAAUCAUAAAUUCUGAUGUUUAAAAUUAUUACUUAUUUUAUCUAUAAUCCGUUAAAACUAAAUGUUAUUUAAUUUAUUUUUACAUUCAAAUGAGAAUUUUACAUGUUUGCUUCGAAAAUUAAGAAGAAUGUAACAAAGCAUCAACCAACCAAAUUAGAUUAGAAUUAAAAUUUUGGAAAACACAAAGUUGAAAAUAAGUAUAGAAAGACAGAGAGUGCCAUCUGCAAUGCGUUCUAGUUUCACAAAAAUCUGGUGUUGGGAUGUGGGUUUAAGGCAUCAAGGAAUGCUGAUGAUGCUAACCUUGCAUUCAAAAUAGUCAAAUUCUGGAGAUGUAUCUUGUUGUGAAGUUUUGCUCCCUUGGCCUCUUCCACAUGGAAAGUAUUUCCCACCAGCUUCACCUUGAGUUCUUCACGAAGGAGGCCCAAGUUUUCCAAAUCUCCAACACUGAAUUUUUUAGGGUCCUUGCUUCCUUGAGCGAUGAUACAAUCUAAUUCCCGAAGACAAUUUAAUCUGGCAACCCCUUUUGGAUAGUGCUUUAGGUUCCCACAAUUCGAAGUAAUAAGAUACCUCAAGUUGAUCAGUUUCCCUAUACCAUCCGGUAGUUUCUCAAGAAAAACACAACCCAACACACUCAAGAACUGCAAAUUACGCAAUUCACACACUUCUUCAGGCAAUCUUUUUGGGGAACGUGAAGACAACUUAAGGAAUCUCAAAUGAAUCA